UGAUAACUUCUCUAGUAGCAUUAGCUGGAGGUCGAAUUGAUUCCUCCUGCUUGUCUUUGAAGCUGAAAGUUUCUCUGUGUCUGUGCACAGCUAGGAGGCAAUUCCUGCUCAGAAAGAUGAGGUCCUGUGCCCAGCCCGGGGAUUGGGUUUCAGCCUGAAUCUACACCAUUGCACUCCAGGGCAUUUUCUAAGAGAAGAGGAGGCGCAGGGAAGACUUCAUCGCCCUCUACAACUACCUGAGAGGAGGCUGUGGUGAGGAAAGGAUUCAUCCAUGCAGAAGAGCUCAGAGUGUAUUCUGGAGAUGGGACCUGCUUCCCACCAGUGCCCAUGAGACGCUCGUUCUGUUGGAAGGGAUGAAGGCAAGAAGCCAUCCUCUCCCAGGGACUGACCUACCUUUUCCACAACCCCUUUCAGAAAACAUACCACUGGAUACCCUCCCUUAUCAUAGCUGCUCCAAUCCUGCUUUAAGUUAGGAAUAAUUCUGGCGUGCCUUCCAAAG
RNAcentral lists this long non-coding RNA (499 nucleotides) under Gallus gallus (chicken). RNAcentral's name for it is "lncRNA (ENSGALG00010017900.1)". Lineage: Eukaryota; Metazoa; Chordata; Aves; Galliformes; Phasianidae. The record is from RNAcentral.